AUGAACGCUGGCGGCGUGCCUAAUACAUGCAAGUCGAGCGAACAGACGAGGAGCUUGCUCCUCUGACGUUAGCGGCGGACGGGUGAGUAACACGUGGAUAACCUACCUAUAAGACUGGGAUAACUUCGGGAAACCGGAGCUAAUACCGGAUAAUAUAUUGAACCGCAUGGUUCAAUAGUGAAAGACGGUUUUGCUGUCGCUUAUAGAUGGAUCCGCGCCGCAUUAGCUAGUUGGUAAGGUAACGGCUUACCAAGGCGACGAUGCGUAGCCGACCUGAGAGGGUGAUCGGCCACACUGGAACUGAGACACGGUCCAGACUCCUACGGGAGGCAGCAGUAGGGAAUCUUCCGCAAUGGGCGAAAGCCUGACGGAGCAACGCCGCGUGAGUGAUGAAGGUCUUCGGAUCGUAAAACUCUGUUAUUAGGGAAGAACAAAUGUGUAAGUAACUAUGCACGUCUUGACGGUACCUAAUCAGAAAGCCACGGCUAACUACGUG
RNAcentral lists this ribosomal RNA (496 nucleotides) under uncultured bacterium. Its description in RNAcentral is "partial 16S ribosomal RNA". It matches the Rfam family "Bacterial small subunit ribosomal RNA", at positions 29 to 507 of the family's 1533-position model. The record is from RNAcentral.